AAAAUUGGUCAAUACAAAUGAAAAACCAAAUCCCAAAACAAGAACAAAAAUUGAUGAAUCCCAAAGCCCGAUUUCGGCAAUGCAAUGCAAAAACAAACGAACUCAAAAUUCCAAUACACAAUAGAAAAGCAAAAACCAGUGUAGCCUGAGCUUUGAUGAGCUAGAUGGAAGCAUAGAAUGAUGAGAAAGAGAGGAUUCCGACAACCCCUUGGCAUUUCCUGGUCAGAUUUCGGUGCUAAUUCUAAUAGGAUUGCCGAUUUUGUUGUUUCUUUGUCAAAUCUCUCAAAAUCCCUUCAUCCUCUUGAUUCUCUCUAACUCUCUUUAUUGCUCUCUCUCUCUCUCUUCAUUACUAUAUCCAUCCCCAUAUUUGUACAUGAAUCAUUGUGUUUGUGUGAUUUUGGUGAGUGAAUAUGGGAUAGGAGCUUUCCCUGAAAGAAGGAAGAAGACGAUGGUCCUCCUUCUUCUCUCUCCCUAUUUUUGGCUCUCCCUCUUUUCUAUUUUUGUCUCUAUCCUCUCCUAUAUCCCAUCCCUCUUUUCUAUGUAGGCUCUUCCUUAAAAGAAAA
Molecule: long non-coding RNA, 563 nt
Filed under: Capsicum annuum
Lineage: Eukaryota; Viridiplantae; Streptophyta; Magnoliopsida; Solanales; Solanaceae
Description: long non-coding RNA (CANN_LNC017227)
Source: RNAcentral